UACGUAGGGCGCGAGCGUUGUCCGGAAUUAUUGGGCGUAAAGCGCGCGCAGGCGGUCCUUUAAGUCUGAUGUGAAAGCCCACGGCUCAACCGUGGAGGGUCAUUGGAAACUGGGGGACUUGAGUACAGAAGAGGAAAGCGGAAUUCCACGUGUAGCAGUGAAAUGCGUAGAGAUGUGGAGGAACACCAGUGGCGAAGGCGGCUUUCUGGUCUGUAACUGACGCUGAGGCGCGAAAGCGUGGGGAGCAAACAGG
Molecule: ribosomal RNA, 253 nt
Filed under: uncultured bacterium
Lineage: Bacteria
Description: partial 16S ribosomal RNA
Rfam family: Bacterial small subunit ribosomal RNA
Source: RNAcentral